AGAGCAUUAUCCAGUUUGGAUUAUCAGCAUCAUCUGGGUCUCUCGCCACCAUCCAUGUCGUCAUUAAACCGGGCUAUCCUGACUCUGAAGAGUGCUACCACAAGGUCUACAGGCAUCUCAGCUCAAAUAUGAAUCAAGGAGGUCAAGCAAUCUUUGGAUCCCUCACCAGUGAUGUCGAUGACAUCAAAAUGACAGUGGGAAGUGGGGUGAAACUACAGCUGGUG
This is a non-coding RNA of Plectropomus leopardus (leopard coralgrouper), 224 nucleotides long. Lineage: Eukaryota; Metazoa; Chordata; Actinopteri; Perciformes; Serranidae. The record is from RefSeq and is a predicted model, not a curated record.